RNAcentral lists this long non-coding RNA (277 nucleotides) under Dromaius novaehollandiae (emu). RNAcentral's name for it is "lncRNA (ENSDNVG00000018369.1)". The record is from RNAcentral. Lineage: Eukaryota; Metazoa; Chordata; Aves; Casuariiformes; Dromaiidae.
CAGAUUAGGUGGAGUUUGCACCAUAUGAGGUGGGAGGUGGGUUUCCUGAAAUACAAAGCCUCUGUUCGUUCAGAGGAUUUUGGUAGUUCUUCAUGGGUUGCCUGAUGGAGAAUAUUCCAGCAUCUCGGAUCUGCUUCUUGGAAGAGUGUUAUGGAUGCUGUCUACCUCUCACGUCAUUCAGAGGACUUCUAGCACAGAUGGACUUGGGGCACUGAGCGUGACAUUGCUCUGUUCUUUGAUGACCCAGCUGCUGGACCUAUUCUCAGAGUACUGCUGA